Molecule: ribosomal RNA, 776 nt
Filed under: uncultured Neocallimastigales
Lineage: Eukaryota; Fungi; Neocallimastigomycota; Neocallimastigomycetes; Neocallimastigales
Description: partial large subunit ribosomal RNA
Rfam family: Eukaryotic large subunit ribosomal RNA
Source: RNAcentral
AGAGAGAGACAUGCGCGCAUAUCAAUAAGCGGAGGAAAAGAAACUAACUAGGAUUCCCUCAGUAACGGCGAGUGAAGCGGGAAGAGCUCAAAUUUGAAAUCUUCAAGGUUCUACCUUGACGAAUUGUAGUUUAAAGAAGUGUUUUCUGUUGGAGUUUUGGUAAAAGUUCUUUGGAAUAGGACAUCAUAGAGGGUGAGAAUCCCGUAUUUGACCAUUAUUUCCAGCUUUGUGAUACACUUUCAAAGAGUCGGAUUGUUUGGGAAUGCAGUCCAAAAUGGGUGGUAAAUUUCAUCUAAAGCUAAAUACUUGGCGAGAGACCGAUAGCGAACAAGUACCGUGAGGGAAAGAUGAAAAGAACUUUGAAAAGAGAGUUAAACAGUACGUGAAAUUGUCAAAAGAGGAAGCGUUUGACACCAGUGUUGUUUUCUCGAAAAUCAAUUAAAAAAGGCAGGAUUUUGUGUUGUAUUGACUUUAUCAGCUUUCUGCACUCUUUUCUUGUCUUUUUUAAUGCACUUUUCGUUUAACAAGUCAACAUCAAUUUCUUUUGUUGUAAAAGGGUCAUUGGAAGGUGGCUUUCUUUUCGGAGAAAGUGUUUAUAGCCUUUGGCCUCUGCAAUCGGAGAGAUUGAGGUCUGCAGCGUAGAUCCUUCGGGGUUAGAUACAUUUGUGCUAAGUUAUAGCAUUUUAUAGACAACUUGUUGACUAUGAUUUGUCUUGUAGCUUACUCGCUUAUGUUAUUUUACCUACGCUUAGGAUGUUGAUGUGAUACUGCGAGCA